This 468-nucleotide ribosomal RNA is filed under the name uncultured bacterium. RNAcentral's name for it is "partial 16S ribosomal RNA". It matches the Rfam family "Bacterial small subunit ribosomal RNA", at positions 28 to 507 of the family's 1533-position model. The record is from RNAcentral.
GACGAACGCUGGCGGCGUGCUUAACACAUGCAAGUCGAACGGAAAGGCCCUGCUUUUGUGGGGUGCUCGAGUGGCGAACGGGUGAGUAACACGUGAGUAACCUGCCCUUGACUUUGGGAUAACUUCAGGAAACUGGGGCUAAUACCGGAUAGGAGCUCCUGCUGCUUGGUGGGGGUUGGAAAGUUUCGGCGGUUGGGGAUGGACUCGCGGCGUAUCAGCUUGUUGGUGGGGUAGUGGCUUACCAAGGCUUUGACGGGUAGCCGGCCUGAGAGGGUGACCGGCCACAUUGGGACUGAGAUACGGCCCAGACUCCUACGGGAGGCAGCAGUGGGGAAUAUUGCACAAUGGGCGGAAGCCUGAUGCAGCAACGCCGCGUGCGGGAUGACGGCCUUAGGGUUGUAAACCGCUUUCGCCUGUGACGAAGCGUGAGUGACGGUAAUGGGUAAAGAAGCACCGGCUAACUACGUG